CACGGAGUUAGCCGAUCCUUAUUCUUACCGUACAUUCAGCUUCUCACACGUGAAAAGGUUUAUUCCGGUACAAAAGCAGUUUACAACCCGUAGGGCCGUCUUCCUGCACGCGGCAUGGCUGGUUCAGGCUUGCGCCCAUUGACCAAUAUUCCUUACUGCUGCCUCCCGUAGGAGUCUGGUCCGUGUCUCAGUACCAGUGUGGGGGGUCAUCCUCUCAGAUCCCCUAAACAUCGUAGCCUUGGUAAGCCAUUACCUUACCAACUAGCUAAUGUUCCGCAUGCCCAUCUUAAUCCUAUAAAUAUUUGAUUAUCAGAAAAUGCUGUCCGAUAAUGUUAUGCGGUGCUAAUCUCUCUUUCGAGAGGCUAUCCCCCAGAUUAAGGUAGGUUACAUACGUGUUACGCACCCGUGCGCCACUCUCAUGAAAAGCAAGCUUCUCAAUCCCGUUCGACUUGCAUGUAUUAGGCCUGCCGCUAGCGUUCAUCCUGAGCCAGGAUCUAAA
This 499-nucleotide ribosomal RNA is filed under the name uncultured Mucilaginibacter sp. RNAcentral describes it as "partial 16S ribosomal RNA". The record is from RNAcentral. Lineage: Bacteria; Pseudomonadati; Bacteroidota; Sphingobacteriia; Sphingobacteriales; Sphingobacteriaceae.